RNAcentral lists this signal recognition particle RNA (282 nucleotides) under Colobus angolensis palliatus. Its description in RNAcentral is "Metazoan signal recognition particle RNA (ENSCANG00000016334.1)". It matches the Rfam family "Metazoan signal recognition particle RNA". Rfam says of the family: The signal recognition particle (SRP) is a universally conserved ribonucleoprotein. It is involved in the co-translational targeting of proteins to membranes. The record is from RNAcentral. Lineage: Eukaryota; Metazoa; Chordata; Mammalia; Primates; Cercopithecidae.
GCCAAUGUGGUGGCAGGCACUGUAUUCCCAGCUACUUGGGAGGUUAAAGUAGGAGGAUCACUUGAGCCCAGGAGUUUCGAGGUGUAGUAAGCUAUGCCCACUGGGUAUCCACCAUCAACAUGGUGACCUCCCAGGAGCAGAGGACCAUGAGGUUGCCUCAGCAGAGGUAAACUGGCCCAGGGUGGAAACACAGCAGGUCAAAAUUCCCUGAUCAGUAGUGAGAUGUUGCCUGUGAAUAGCCACUGCAAUUCUGCCUGCACAACACAGGGAGACCCCGUUUCC